AGCAGUGUAGCGCAGUGGUAAGGAGCAGGGCUCGUAAGCCAAAGGUUCCUGGUUUGAUUCCCCACUGGGGCACUGCUA
Molecule: transfer RNA, 78 nt
Filed under: Megalops atlanticus (tarpon)
Lineage: Eukaryota; Metazoa; Chordata; Actinopteri; Elopiformes; Megalopidae
Description: tRNA-OTHER
Source: RNAcentral